UGGUCAUAUCAUGUUGAAACACCAAUUCCUGUACGAUCAUCAAAGUUAAGCAACAUUGACCUUGGUCAAUACCUAGAUGGGUGACUGCUUGGGAAUACCAGGUACUGUA
Non-coding RNA from Acanthosepion pharaonis, 109 nucleotides. The record is from the annotation of a GenBank genome assembly. Lineage: Eukaryota; Metazoa; Mollusca; Cephalopoda; Sepiida; Sepiidae.